This 124-nucleotide ribosomal RNA is filed under the name Plagiobothrys bracteatus. Its description in RNAcentral is "5.8S ribosomal RNA". It matches the Rfam family "5.8S ribosomal RNA", at positions 36 to 154 of the family's 154-position model. Rfam says of the family: 5.8S ribosomal RNA (5.8S rRNA) is a component of the large subunit of the eukaryotic ribosome. It is transcribed by RNA polymerase I as part of the 45S precursor that also contains 18S and 28S rRNA. Functionally, it is thought that 5.8S rRNA may be involved in ribosome translocation. RNAcentral also lists the same sequence under 1 other name. The record is from RNAcentral. Lineage: Eukaryota; Viridiplantae; Streptophyta; Magnoliopsida; Boraginales; Boraginaceae.
AUGAAGAACGUAGCGAAAUGCGAUACUUGGUGUGAAUUGCAGAAUCCCGUGAAUCAUCGAGUCUUUGAACGCAAGUUGCGCCUGAAGCCAUUAGGCCGAGGGCACGCCUGCAUGGGCGUCACGC